CAAAUUAAAGUUUAUAAAAAUAUUUCAUUUACAUUGAAAAGAGAUUGAAUUUGUUUCAUUUAAUUUGA
RNAcentral lists this transfer RNA (68 nucleotides) under Zygaena anthyllidis. RNAcentral describes it as "transfer RNA-Val (GUN)". The record is from RNAcentral. Lineage: Eukaryota; Metazoa; Arthropoda; Insecta; Lepidoptera; Zygaenidae.